Molecule: long non-coding RNA, 1189 nt
Organism: Canis lupus familiaris (dog)
Lineage: Eukaryota; Metazoa; Chordata; Mammalia; Carnivora; Canidae
Exons: 3
Source: RefSeq, a predicted model, not a curated record
CCAUUCUCUAACAGAUAAAUAGAGGCGAUUUCUAAUUUCUCUCUCUUUCUCACCUCCCCCUAAAAUUUUCUUUUAGUGGCAAUAUCUGCUAAACAAAACUCCAGGCACAUCUACAUUUUGUGAUGAGUUUUCUCCUAUUUACACACUUUCUAUUCCUGACAGAAAAUUUAAAUGCUAUACCAUCUGGUUCAAAACUGGUUACUCACAAUCCUACUGGCCACUUGCCAAGUCCUAUCAAUUUUCCUCCUGAAUAUCUCCUAGUUCUGUUCUUUAACCAACAAUCUCCCAAAUUAGUUCAUGCCCUUGUCAGUUUCCACUUAACUGCUAAACCAUAGUGGACAUUUGCUAUUUCUGUCUCUAUAAAAUCUCUGCACACUUUCUGCAUAUAGUACCUCCACCUUCUUUUACGUAAAAAAUCCUGACCUGCUACCUUUCCAGGCAUUUUGGCUUGCCUAUCAUAGUCCUCUGCCCCUGUGGCCAUGGAGACGAGCACCAGCUCCAUCCUCUUGACCACAAUGCUUGGUGAAAAAAAGCACAAGAUCCAGCCAGGGCAUCUGCCUCCAGAGUUUUCUGAAUUGAAGGUAGAGUGGGAUCUGUCUUUUUUUAAUUAUGUUUUCUGACUUCAAAAGACAGGAUUCUCACCAUGCAGAGGAGCCCGACAAGAAAUUGAGGGUCACGUAGAAAGCCCAGGAGUGAGGUGAGGAAAGCAAACUUGUGACAUCCUUCUAACCUGUUUCUUUCAACAAAAGGGAUUAAAAACGAUGCACAAGAAUAUACUAGUGAUAUGAAGAAUGUAACAAUAUGGGAGGAUAAAGAGUAAACUAAAUACUUCCUUCUGGAUUCUGUUUUCUGUCCAACCCCACCCCUGUCCUCAAACCUCUUCACUCUUACAUCAUACUCAGAAGCAAAUCUCUGGAAUGGCUUUGUUUUUAGUUCCAGUGGUUGAAUUUUGAAAUGGAAGGGAGAAUGGAGAAAUAGUAAAACAGACUAUUAGAAGUCUAGAUUCACAUAGAUGCUUAGUAUUCCCACUAGAACUAUUGGCCUGCCUUUGAAAGUACAAAAUCAUAAAACAACUUUGGAAAAUCAUAUUGUAUAAUAUACUGAAGUUGACCUAGCCAUUCCCUAUAAAAACUUUGGGAUUAGAAAUGAGACAAGAAUUCUUGUACUCAUCACUUCUAUUCAACUUUAU